CGUUUCCCGUGCGUUGCGAACGAGCGAGCGAAGCCUUUGCCCUCGAGCGACGCCACACCAGACCCUUCGCCCUCGCAGCCGCCGCCGAUCCCCUCCCUCAAACGCCGCCGCCCUUCGCUGCCGCCCCCGCCACCUCCCGUCGCGGGCAGGCGGGAGGAGCCCUGCCCGGCCAUGGCGACACCCGCCGGCGGCCUCCUCCUCCCCCUCACCUUCUCUCCCUCUCCCAAGGGAGGGAAGGGAAUGGAAGGGAUCUGAUUGGAGCGGUCGAUCUGCGCCCUUGCCGUCUCUUCUUUCCUUCACCGAUUCCAGGAGGAGAUCGAAGUGGAAGGUAGACGAGCAGGAGCGCCGCGUCCACGACAGCGAUGAGCGACGACCCAGGUUCUCCUCUCCCAUGGCAGGGGUCGGCGAGUGGCAACAGAUGCGGGACACCAACUGGUGGCGCAACGGACAGCGAGAGGCAGGACACCAACUGGGCGCGCCUCUCGCGGCCGACUUCCACGGCGGCGACGUCGUUUACCUUGGCGCCUGAUUCUUUCCGACUCAGCGAUCCCCGCGGGCACCGAUGGACGGCGACGGGCAGCACGUGCGGCCGCGGAGCCGCGCGCUCCUGACCGACGACGAGGAUGACGGGGCGUACGCCAGCGACGUGUACAGCGGCAACCUCACCGCCACGGGCGGGUCUCGCGCUGGCCGGAUCUUGGGGCGGUAGCAGUACUUGGUGCAGCGCCGCCGUGGCGACUAUGGCAGCGUCGGGGUCGUCGUCGUCCUCAUCCGCACAGGGUAGCUGGACUGGGAGGUUUGCUGCUUCCGGUCAGCAGACGAUGGCUAUGACGCUAUGCCCAGCACGAGUGCUAACGCCAUCACGGCCGGCACCACUGAUGGAGCUCAUUUGGCUGAAUUUGCUACUGACUUGCCACAUUUUGAGGGCCUGCAAUUGAAGAAUACAACACUUGAGAUAACAAUUGAAGAAUACUAGAGUAAUAAUAACUACUGCAAGAGUGAUGUACUUUCUUUUUGUUGGAGAUUUUCUGCAUCUUUUAUGGACGGUAACAUUUGAGAUAACAAUUUGAUGUGCUAACCAUCAAGAUCAACUUCGACAUGUUUGGUCUCUAAAAGUUACUAUUGACCAUCAUUGGUGCAUCCUAUAAGAAGGGGAAAAUAAAGCAUUAAUGUGGAGUAUGUUCCAAUGGAAAUCUUCAGGAACACCUUGAAGGUCUGAGUGCAAUUUUUCUUUAGUUCUCUGUGAGCUUAAAAAUGCAACUGAUGUGGCCCAUGCAACUGAAAUUAAAAACAUGGAGAAGAAUCAUAAAAGAUCUCGCUGAAAAUGCCCUCGUUCUGCACUUCGUGUGGACAGGCAGCACCCUUUACCUUCGAAGUCUCGAAAAAUGGUCUGGGUGAUGCGGGUGCCUCAAUGCUUGAUGCCAUGUUCUGUAAGAGGCCAAGGUUGUAUUUGGGUGUCCACGCGCUACAGGGAAUUACUGUGCGGAGUAGUAAGAAUUGAUUUAAACGUAGAGCCUAGACUCGCACUCCAUGAGCAUCCAUGGCCGGCGAGACGGGACCCUCGACCCUCGGCCUCUGUUGAGAAGGAUCGUUCCACUGUGUCCGAUUUGUAGUACAGAGCAAUCUCAUUCCUCUGAAGUUCCUAUUGGGCAAAAUGGGCAAGAUGUGUUUGGCAAAAUGGAUAAGUCUGUAACUGGAACUCUGGAUAGUUGAUCCUCUGAAUGGCAAAAAAUUUAUCAAGUUGCUGAGAUUCAGGGGUCUGAAAUUAAGCCAUUUGUGGAUAGUUUAUCUAAAUGCCCAAAACCAACUUAGAGCUCCAGAGAGGUCUUGUUUUCUUGUACUAUGGAUUUAAGGUGAUUCUCAAGAGGAACAAGUCGCCAUGGACCGAUGAGAUCGAGAGACGGCUCCGCGGUUGCGUGGAGUGGCGGCUGAGAGGAGAGGCAAUAACAACUCGUUGUCCGUGACGGCCCGAGCAUUUGCGAGAGGGGAUGGAGCGGGGGUUGCAUCGUCACGGCCAGUUGCCAGAGUGGGUGGAGUGGUGGCCGCACGGACGCGCUCCUAGAGGUGCCGGUAUGCACCCUGAUUUUGAGCCUGGGAGGUUCCUUGCUCUGCCCUAUCCUCAAGGGUGUUCAUCUACUUUGGUAUCGUGCUCUGGAGUCAGGACGAUGCACUAAUGCAGGUUUGAUUCUUUACUUUUUCUUUUGUUUUAUUUGUAUACAUAUCCCUGAAUUUUGUGAGCCGUGAUUUAAAUGUUGUCGUGUGUGCCAUUGUCUCCUAUAUAAUUAUUCUAUUGAAGCACCGCUGCAACCCAGUUUGUUUAUCAAAUUGAUGCAAGAAACAAACUAAUACAUGGAGAGUAUAAAUUUAUUGCAUUAAUUUGUAUAUCCCUGCACCUACCGAUAGGUAGAGAUGGAUAAAUUUUGUAGCUUUUUGAUCCCGGUUUUUCCUAUUGAAAUUAUGGAUUUGGAAGCUAAUCAUGGAGUGUUUCGAUUGUCUGCUUACGGAAUCGCAAUAAGCACAAGUCUGCAACCUUGAAGGAAAACCCGUUGCAACUGAUGACAUAAUAUUACGUUGCAACAAGAAUGUAUAGAGCUGCAGAGCUCUGUGGAUCCUUCUCUUCACAAAAGGCGAGAAGCGGAGGCGUGUGCCUAGAGUAGCGGACCAUGAUGGAUUGAUGAGCUGAUGUCACGUGACGUACUCACGUGGCGGUUGUUUAGGCUCCGGCGGCUGGAGCCAUCAUCGACCAUGAUGCCGCGCCAGGAGCACAAGGGCUAAGACGAGGACAUGUUGGUGCCGAUGAAAUAAGGUGCUGCCGGUUGAUGGGGGCCUAACCAUGAGUCUAACUGAAAGUGAACGGGAGCGAUGUGUAGAAAAAAAUCUUAGCAUAUAGGCUGAAUUUGUAUAGUACUUCGAAUUUAUUAGGCAGUACCCCCUCCAUUUGUAUAUCACUUCCGAAUACAAGUUCAGGUUAUUAGGCAGUACUAUUGAAUUUAAGGAUUGAUACUUGAAGAUUUUAAAAGGUUACUAAAUUUUGUACCAAGUCUACUGUUAUGUAUGGGAAGAACAUGCGCUAAAAUAUUGAUAAUGCAUAUGAA
Long non-coding RNA from Triticum dicoccoides, 3095 nucleotides. RefSeq lists it as uncharacterized. The transcript has 11 exons. NCBI's taxonomy places the organism in Eukaryota, Viridiplantae, Streptophyta, Magnoliopsida, Poales, Poaceae. The record is from RefSeq and is a predicted model, not a curated record.